RNAcentral lists this long non-coding RNA (80 nucleotides) under Cricetulus griseus (Chinese hamster). RNAcentral describes it as "lncRNA (ENSCGRG00000025791.1)". The record is from RNAcentral. Lineage: Eukaryota; Metazoa; Chordata; Mammalia; Rodentia; Cricetidae.
ACAUAGACACACACUCUACACACACACACAGUCCACGUUUUGAAAGGUUUAAGGGGAAAUUACAAACUUUAAUAGUGAAA